Molecule: ribosomal RNA, 466 nt
Filed under: uncultured bacterium
Lineage: Bacteria
Description: bacterial SSU rRNA
Rfam family: Bacterial small subunit ribosomal RNA
Source: RNAcentral
UGCCAGACUCCUACGGGAGGCAGCAGUGAGGAAUAUUGGUCAAUGGGCGCGAGCCUGAACCAGCCAAGUCGCGUGAGGGAUGACGGCCCUACGGGUUGUAAACCUCUUUUGUCGGGGAGCAAAUUCCGUUACGUGUAACGGAGUCGAGAGUACCCGAAGAAAAAGCAUCGGCUAACUCCGUGCCAGCAGCCGCGGUAAUACGGAGGAUGCGAGCGUUAUCCGGAUUUAUUGGGUUUAAAGGGUGCGUAGGCGGGACCUUAAGUCAGCGGUAAAAUUGCGGUGCUCAACGCCGUAGAGCCGUUGAAACUGGGGUUCUUGAGUGAGCGAGAAGUAUGCGGAAUGCGUGGUGUAGCGGUGAAAUGCAUAGAUAUCACGCAGAACCCCGAUUGCGAAGGCAGCAUACCGGCGCUCAACUGACGCUGAGGCACGAAAGUGCGGGUAUCGAACAGGAUUAGAUACCCCAGUA